Molecule: long non-coding RNA, 1917 nt
Filed under: Marmota monax (woodchuck)
Lineage: Eukaryota; Metazoa; Chordata; Mammalia; Rodentia; Sciuridae
Source: RNAcentral
CAAGACCCUGUCUCAAAAGGGCUGGUAAUGUGGCUCUGGUAGGGCACCCCUGGAUUCAGUCCCACUACCAAAAUAAAUAUUGUCAUGGUUUGCUCUAGUCCCUUUUGUUUGGGAAGAGGAAAACAAGAAUUAAUACAAUACUGUCAUUAGAUUAAUAAUACUGUCAUUUUAUAUAUAGUAUUAUAUAAUAAUACUGUCAUUCAAUAAUACUUAAUAAUACUAUCAUUGAUAUAACAAUGCCUAGAAUUCAGCCAUCAAAUUAGCAAUUGACCUGACCUAUAGUUGUAGAACAAUGUAUCUACUAGGAUGUUCAGUGUUUUGCCUUAGAAGACAUCCUUAGUCUACAUAGGCUGUAAUUUGAGGGCUUGACUGGAGACAUGAAUGACUACUUUCAUACUAAAAGAUAAUAGCAAAUCAGGUUCCUAGGCUCAGAAUAUUGGCCUGCCUCCCUGAUAGAUCCCAGCAUAAUAUGGUCCAUCAUGUAAUCCUUCAGUUUAAAUCCUUGUAACUUAAUGUCAGUAUUUUUGUCCCCACACUGAGGGUAAUUUUGUCCCCUAGGGGACAUCUGGCAAUGUUCAGGAUCAUUUUUGGGGUACACUAAGGGAGGAAGUGCUGCUGGCUUCUAAUGGGUAGAGGGCAGAGGUACCAAACAUACUUAAUAGAUGAGCCCCUCACAACAAAGAACUGUCCAGCCUGAAAUGUGAACAAUGCUGAGAUUAAGAAACUUAAAAUUGAAAGCAUAUCUCUGGAAAUAUUAGAUACUCAGUUACGCUUCACUACUUGUGAGUGUCCUGAAGUUGUGAUUUUAUUAGUUGAAAUCCUAAGAUGUCUUGGGUGUGAGCAUAAGUAGCAAAGUGUGAAUAAAAUAGCAACUGAUCAUAGUGCUCAAGCCUUGGAAUGACCUAUUCCCAGAGAAUACACCAAAGAAUUGUGCUGGAUAAACAUGAACAAGGUUAAACAAAGACUUGGAGAAAAUGUCAGGUGAAUAUGUUCAAGAUGGAAACAAACAAUACAUUGAUCCCUGUAAGCAAACAGGAAGAACAAGGAACUUUCUUGAGUGAACAAAUUUCAGAGGAGGAAAGUCAUGGGACUUAUGAACUAUUCAGUCUGGAACUAACGCAGCGCAGGAAUUCAUGGAAAGCCACCCAAUUUACUCAUUUCAUACCUCUAGGUUUGGCUGAUAGGAAAGAAAUUUUAUUUAUGUGUAUGUGUAUAAAUUUAUAGCUAUAUUCUGUUAGCAAAAAUAAGAUUUUUAAUGAAAAUGAUUAUUUUCUAUAACAAAAUGUAGUAAAAAAUGUAACAAGAAAAGUGACAAUUUUAUCACAUUUUGAAAAAUCUUAUUAUAUCUGGCUUACUACGAGAAAAAUGGAUUCCCAUAUUUGCAUCUACUUUCAAGCUGUUGUAAUAUGUUGUUUCAGUUAAAGUAGAUAAAGAAAGUCUGGCCUCCCACAGAUGUGUGGCUGGAAAAAAGAAUGCCUUAGGACUCUUUAAAAAAAGUUUUUGGGGAGUUCACUUUGAGACCUACUAGAUUAAGUUUUGUGUAUUUAGGUAAUGCUUCAUUUAUUAAUGUUAAAUUUAUUCCUCCACUGAAAAAAUUAUCUGGUGUGUGCGUGUGUGUGUGUAUGUGUGUGUGUUUAUUUAUAUAUUUAUUUUACAACCUUACAGUGGCUCAUCAACUUAGCAAGAUCCUGUCUCAAAAAAUCAAAAAAGGAUGGGAUGUUGCUCAGGGGUGGUAGAACACCCUUGGGUUCAACCCCCAGAACCUUUGGGUUUAACCCCCCGGAAAAAAAAAUUGCACACACAUGUAUAUACUCAAAAAAAUUUGAGAGUAUUUCAUACAUUUUCAAGAUCAUACUGUUGUGUAUGACUGUUAUGCCUCUUACUCUUCCACUGUCUAUUUUGUCUGUAACUACUACA